This 421-nucleotide ribosomal RNA is filed under the name Fusobacteriota bacterium. Its description in RNAcentral is "Fusobacteria bacterium partial 16S ribosomal RNA". It matches the Rfam family "Bacterial small subunit ribosomal RNA", at positions 355 to 776 of the family's 1533-position model. The record is from RNAcentral. Lineage: Bacteria; Fusobacteriati; Fusobacteriota.
UGGGGAAUAUUGCACAAUGGACGGAAGUUUGAUGCAGCGACGCCGCGUGGAGGGUGUAGGCCUUCGGGUUGUGAACUCCUUUUUUUCGCGAAAAAGGCACAGUUUUGGCUGUGUUGAUGGUAGUGGGGGAAGAAGCGCCGGCUAACUACGUGCCAGCAGCCGCGGUAAUACGUAGGGCGCGAGCGUUGUCCGGAUUUACUGGGCGUAAAGAGCGCGUAGGUGGUUCGGCGCGUCUGUCGUGAAAGCCCGCAGCUUAACUGUUGGUCUGCGGUGGGUACGGGCGGGCUUGAGUGCGGUAGGGGUGACUGGAAUUCCUGGUGUAGCGGUGAAAUGCGCAGAUAUCUGGAGGAACACCGAUGGCGAAGGCAGGUCACUGGGCCAUUACUGACACUGAGGAGCGAAAGCGUGGGGAGCGAACAGG